This 449-nucleotide ribosomal RNA is filed under the name uncultured bacterium. Its description in RNAcentral is "partial 16S ribosomal RNA". It matches the Rfam family "Bacterial small subunit ribosomal RNA", at positions 29 to 523 of the family's 1533-position model. The record is from RNAcentral.
AAUGAACGCUGGCGGCAGGCCUAACACAUGCAAGUCGAACGGAUCCUUCGGGAUUAGUGGCGGACGGGUGAGUAACGCGUGGGAACAUACCCUUUGGUACGGAAUAGCCUCGGGAAACUGGGAGUAAUACCGUAUGUGGUCGAGAGACGAAAGAUUUAUCGCCAAAGGAUUGGCCCGCGUUGGAUUAGGUAGGUGGGGGGGUAAUGGCCUACCAAGCCGACGAUCCAUAGCUGGUUUGAGAGGAUGAUCAGCCACACUGGGACUGAGACACGGCCCAGACUCCUACGGGAGGCAGCAGUGGGGAAUCUUAGACAAUGGGGGAAACCCUGAUCUAGCCAUGCCGCGUGAUCGAUGAAGGCCUUAGGGUUGUAAAGAUCUUUCAGGUGGGAAGAUAAUGACUGUACCACCAGAAGAAGCCCCGGCUAACUCCGUGCCAGCCGCCGCAGUAA